Molecule: long non-coding RNA, 898 nt
Filed under: Lonchura striata (white-rumped munia)
Lineage: Eukaryota; Metazoa; Chordata; Aves; Passeriformes; Estrildidae
Description: domestica (Bengalese finch) lncRNA (ENSLSDG00000017768.1)
Source: RNAcentral
AGCGGCACUGGUUUGCAAAUGAACGAGAACACGGCCAGAAAUUACCUCCUAGCUAAUUUUCCCGGUUCCCGAGCGUGCCGCGUGAUGAAGCAGCGUGGGGUGGCAGCCAAACCCCACGGAGCUGCGAGGGGCUGGGAGCGGCGCCGUGCAGAGCCGGGGCAUGGAGCCCUGCCCUGUCCCUCCCCUGGCCGGGGCGGCCACCACGGGUGGGGAUGGACGGUGUGACGCCGGGCCGGGGUGGUGCCCAGCACCCCUGGCAACCGGCUGCAGCUUGUCCCAAACACAGAGAGCCAUGGGCAUGCACGGACACCUCACCUUCCUCCUCCUCAGCCUCUAUGCCCCGGGUGACACUGCGUGCUGGUGCAGAGCUCGAUGCCCGCCGGGUCAACCUGUACACACUGAUCCUGCGGGCUGCUUGUCCUGGUGAGAAUGAGGUGGAAGAGCGGCUCUUUGUCUGGGUGACAGCAGGGCAUGUGCUGCGCUGUGACACCCUCUUUGCCAGUGCAGAGGGUGAUCUGGUGCAGGUGCUGGCAGAUGUGGCACCCCGGACACCCCUGUAUGUGGUGCUGCCACAGCCACUUGGUGGACUGACGUUCAAGCUCCAAAACCGCAACACACCACUCACGCUCACACGCCGGGGCCUGUUGCUGGCACCUGACAAUGGUUUUGACCCCAGCAAGGACAUCCAGAUGUUCAGGUUGGAGAUUGAGGUGAUGGAUCAUUACGGGCACAACUGCAGCAGGGCUGUAAGGGUGGAGGUGCUGCCACCACGCCGUCCCCGCGUCACCUUCCCGUGAGUGGGGUUGGGUCAGGAGCGGGGUGCUGGUGGCACCAGGCUGUGCCACAAUGCCCGCCUCGCCUGCAGUGAGCCACAUCUGGCUGUGACAGUGACAGAGGG